Molecule: transfer RNA, 87 nt
Filed under: Candidatus Moraniibacteriota bacterium
Lineage: Bacteria; Candidatus Moraniibacteriota
Description: tRNA-Leu
Rfam family: tRNA
About the family: Transfer RNA (tRNA) molecules are approximately 80 nucleotides in length.
Source: RNAcentral
GGGAAUAUGGCGGAAUUGGUAGACGCGCCGGCUUCAGGAGCCGGUAACGCUUGCGUUGUGAGAGUUCGAGUCUCUCUAUUCCCACCG